GAGCAUGCAUAUUGGGAGUGAUCCUGAGAAGCCGUUGCUUUUUACCUCGGCUCCACAAAAGCACGUUAGAAGAGGAUUUGCAGAUCGAAAACCCAAACCAAAUGAUACACCAAGAUCUAAGUGAGCCACUUUAUUCAUUCAGUACUGGAUAUUAAUGGCCUUUGAAUACCCUCACAUCCUUUGUGGAGAUCACCUGUUUGUGCAGACCCAAAUGCUCUGUGUUCAAGUGGGUGAUGUUAUCACACACGGGCAAUU
Rhincodon typus (whale shark) is the source of this 255-nucleotide long non-coding RNA. RefSeq lists it as uncharacterized. The record is from RefSeq and is a predicted model, not a curated record. NCBI's taxonomy places the organism in Eukaryota, Metazoa, Chordata, Chondrichthyes, Orectolobiformes, Rhincodontidae. The transcript has 3 exons.